UUCUCCUUCUUCAAACGGCGACGACGCAGCCUUCAUCCCUCCGAUUCAAAUCAACGACUACCAUCUUCUUCCGUUUAUGGCGAAAGGCCUGCCAGCUCCCUCUGGUGAGACCUUCUUCUUCUCCAAUCUCUCUUUCUCUGAUGGCGAGCUCGCGACGGAUUUGGUGAUGUUGGUGUUGAACCUUGUCGUUGAAUCUUUGUUCGAUUUGAUGAUGAAAGUUGUGUUGUUGUGUUGUCGGGUUCGUUGAAGACGAACAAUGAUGAACACGUUUUGAUGAUGAUGAAAGUGUUUCUGUUCAGAAUCUGAGAGUGUGUUGCAAUUUGGUGAUGAUGAGGUUCAAAAGGAGAUUGCAGAAUCUAAUUGCCGGAGCUUUCAAGCCUCCUUGCAAUAUCUCAAUCUCUUUUGCUGAUGGAAGAACGCACAAGCAGGUUCGCGUGAAAAAGGAAAAUGACCAUCCAGUUAUGGCUCCUCUCUUUCAAAAUCAAGAGAAUAUAGUUGGGGAG
Molecule: long non-coding RNA, 503 nt
Organism: Vicia villosa (hairy vetch)
Lineage: Eukaryota; Viridiplantae; Streptophyta; Magnoliopsida; Fabales; Fabaceae
Exons: 3
Source: RefSeq, a predicted model, not a curated record